RNAcentral lists this ribosomal RNA (495 nucleotides) under Hyposerica sp. DA4305. RNAcentral's name for it is "partial 16S large subunit ribosomal RNA". It matches the Rfam family "Bacterial large subunit ribosomal RNA", at positions 1844 to 2600 of the family's 2925-position model. The record is from RNAcentral. Lineage: Eukaryota; Metazoa; Arthropoda; Insecta; Coleoptera; Scarabaeidae.
UUUAAGGUCUAAUCUGCCCUAUGAGGAAUUAAAUGGCCGCGGUACUCUGACCGUGCAAAGGUAGCAUAAUAAUUAGUUUUUUAAUUGGAAGCUGGAAUGAAUGAUUGGACGAGAAAAUAGCUGUCUCAAUUUAAUUUAAUUAGAAUUUUAUUUUUAAGUAAGAAAGCUUAAAUUUUUUUAGAAGACGAGAAGACCCUAUAGAGUUUUAUAUUUAUGUAAUUAUGGAUUAAUUAGAAUUUUUUUAUUUGUAUUUAUAUAUGUAUUUUAUUGGGGCGAUAGAAAAAUAUAAUUAACUUUUUUUUUAUUAUUACAUUUAUAUAUGAAAUUUUGAUCCAUUAUUUUUGAUUAUAAGAUUAAAUUACCUUAGGGAUAACAGCGUAAUUUUUUUUUAGAGUUCUUAUCGAAAAAAGAGAUUGCGACCUCGAUGUUGGAUUAAGAUAAAUGUUUGGUGUAGGGGCUAAAUAAUUAGGUCUGUUCGACCUUUAAAAUCUUACA